CAGGAUGUGGGGAAGUUGGUGUCCCGCGGGCUUUGGAAGCUCGAGAUCGCAGGUUCGAGUCCUGCUAUCCUGA
RNAcentral lists this transfer RNA (73 nucleotides) under Blastopirellula sp. RNAcentral's name for it is "tRNA-Pro". It matches the Rfam family "tRNA". From Rfam's summary of the family: Transfer RNA (tRNA) molecules are approximately 80 nucleotides in length. Their secondary structure includes four short double-helical elements and three loops (D, anti-codon, and T loops). Further hydrogen bonds mediate the characteristic L-shaped molecular structure. tRNAs have two regions of fundamental functional importance: the anti-codon, which is responsible for specific mRNA codon recognition, and the 3' end, to which the tRNAs corresponding amino acid is attached (by aminoacyl-tRNA synthetases). tRNAs cope with the degeneracy of the genetic code in two manners: having more than one tRNA (with a specific anti-codon) for a particular amino acid; and 'wobble' base-pairing, i.e. permitting non-standard base-pairing at the 3rd anti-codon position. Lineage: Bacteria; Pseudomonadati; Planctomycetota; Planctomycetia; Pirellulales; Pirellulaceae. The record is from RNAcentral.